Molecule: ribosomal RNA, 116 nt
Filed under: Purpureocillium takamizusanense
Lineage: Eukaryota; Fungi; Ascomycota; Sordariomycetes; Hypocreales; Ophiocordycipitaceae
Source: RNAcentral
ACGACCAUAGCCAUAAGAAAAUUCGGGGUCCCGUUCGCUCCCCCCUAGACAAGCUUAUGAGUGGCAGAUCAGUAGUUGGGUCGGUGACGACCAGCGAACACCGGCUGUUGUAUGUC